UAAGCAUCUCGGCCUUUUGGCUAAGAUCAAGUGUAGGAUCUGUUCUUAGGGUGGGUUCACACCACGAUGUUGCUAUACAGUUUCAUAAAAAAAAAAAGUAUGCAACCGUACAGAAAACCGUGCCCAUAGACUCCAAUACGUUUUUUUGGAGGGGUUUUUUUUGGACAGAAAACCGUAACCUACCACAG
This is a small nuclear RNA of Hyla sarda, 188 nucleotides long. RefSeq annotates it as U2 spliceosomal RNA. Lineage: Eukaryota; Metazoa; Chordata; Amphibia; Anura; Hylidae. The transcript has a single exon. The record is from RefSeq and is a predicted model, not a curated record.